Long non-coding RNA from Pan troglodytes (chimpanzee), 1383 nucleotides. RefSeq lists it as uncharacterized. The transcript has 2 exons. NCBI's taxonomy places the organism in Eukaryota, Metazoa, Chordata, Mammalia, Primates, Hominidae. The record is from RefSeq and is a predicted model, not a curated record.
CAGCUACUCGACUCUGCCAUUGUAGCCUGAAAGCAUCAUAGCCAGUAUGCAAAUGAAAGAACAUGGCUGUAUUCCAAAAUUGACAAACAGCAUAAAAUUGUAUGAGGAAUUGCAGGAGACCCAGAAUUUCCCAAAUAACCUUGUAAAAGAAGAACAAAGUUGAAAGACUCACACUUCCAAGUUUUUUGUUUUUUGUUUUUUUUGGAGAUGGAGUUUGUUCUCAUUUUGUGGCCCGGGCUAGAAUGCAGUGGCAUGAUCACAGUUCACUGUAAUCUUGGCCUCCCAGGCUCAUGAUCCUCCCACCUCAGCCUCCUGAAUAGCUGGGACCACAGGUGUGUGCCACCACACCUGACUAAUUAAAAAAAAUUUUGGGGGGCUAGGCGUGGUGGCUCAUUCCUGUAAUCCCAGCUCUUUGGGAGGCUGAGGUGGGUGGAUCACUUGAGGUCAGGAGUUCGGGACCAGCCUUGCCAACAUGGCGAAACCUCAUCUCUACUAAAAAUACAAAAAUUAGCUGGGUGUGAUGGCACACGCCUGUAAUUCCAGCUACUUGGGAGGCUGAGGCAUGAGAAUCGCUUGAACCAGGGAGGCAGAGUUUGCAGUUAGCCGAGAUCGUGCCACUGCACUCCAUCCUGGGUGAUGGAGUGAGACUCUGUCUCAAAAAAAAAAAAACCACAAAAUUUGUAGAGACAGGAUCUCCCUUUGUUGCCCGGGUUGGUCUUGAACUCCUGGGCUCAAGUGAUCCUCCUGCUUUGGUUUCCCAAAGUGCUGGGAUUAUAGGUGUGAGCCACUGUACCUAGCCACACUUCCAAGCUUUAAAACUUAGUAUAAAUCUACAAUAACUAAGGUGGUGUAAUAUUGGCAUAGGAUAGAUAUCCAGAUCAACUGAAUAGAAUUUAGAGUCCAGAACAAACCCAUGUAUCUGUAGUCAACUGAUUUUUUUUCCUGCAAGCUCAUCCUUAAGGUCAACUGAUUUUUAAUAAGGAUGCCAAGGUCAUUGAAUGGGGAGAAUAAUCUUUUCAACGCAUGGUGGAGUGCUGGGACAACUGGAUAUCCCCAGGCAAAAGAAUGAAGUUGAAGGCGGGGUACAGCGGCUCAUGCUUGAAAUCCCAGUGCUUUGGGAGGCCGAGGUGAGAGGAUCACUUGAGUUCAGGGAGUUCAAGACCAGCCUGGGCAACAUAGUGAAUCCUCAAUCUCUACAAACAAUUUUUAAAAAAAGCCCUACUCGAGUGGCUGAGGUGGGGGGAUUGCUUGAACCCAAGAGGUUAAGGCUGCAGCUGCAUUACAGCCUGGGUGAGAGAGCAAAACUCUGUCCCAAGCAAACAAACCACAAAAACAAAAAAAUAAGAGUGAAGUUGGAUCCCUACCUCGCAUCACAUACAAAAA